UCACUUACCUGGACGGGGUCAAUGGACGAUCAAGUAGGUCUAUGGCCUAGGUUGGUGACCUCCAUUGCACUCAGGAGGGGUGCCCGCCUAAGGUCGGCCCAAGUGGUCGAGCCUACGUCAUAAUUUGUGGCAGCUGGGGCCUGCGUUCGCGCGGCCCCUGC
Molecule: non-coding RNA, 161 nt
Organism: Helianthus annuus (common sunflower)
Lineage: Eukaryota; Viridiplantae; Streptophyta; Magnoliopsida; Asterales; Asteraceae
Source: Rfam